This is a long non-coding RNA of Dunckerocampus dactyliophorus (ringed pipefish), 438 nucleotides long. RefSeq lists it as uncharacterized. The transcript has 3 exons. The record is from RefSeq and is a predicted model, not a curated record. NCBI's taxonomy places the organism in Eukaryota, Metazoa, Chordata, Actinopteri, Syngnathiformes, Syngnathidae.
CCGGAAGUAAGUCAAUAUUUCAUGAAUGACUGGGCCCGACCGUGGAAAAGCAGACCAUGUGGCAGACAAUCGUGUGUCGUCAUGGCGUUUGAGGAGGGACGGCCCAACAUGGAAGUGACUGGCUGACCACCAUCAUCUUCAGCGGCUGCUAUAGAAAGUACAUACAGGUACAUGUCUGCAGCAUGGCAUUCAGGACAAUGGCAUGAACAGAGUGAGCCCUCUUCUCAGUCAUACAGUCUCUUUGUCUUCGUGGGCGGAAGCGGGGCUGGUAGCAUACACACAGAGUGCAGAAGAGUGUAAAGUUGUGAAAUUAAAUUAGUAGACUGCAAUGGAUUGUCAUAUAUUUUUUUAUAUUUUUUCAUUGUACUUUUCUUAAAAGUAAUGUUAAAAUCUCGUCCUGUCUUGCAAAACACUCCUGAAAAAUGUGUUGCAAAAAAA